This 549-nucleotide small RNA is filed under the name Arabidopsis thaliana (thale cress). RNAcentral describes it as "ATSL097880". The record is from RNAcentral. Lineage: Eukaryota; Viridiplantae; Streptophyta; Magnoliopsida; Brassicales; Brassicaceae.
GGUUUUGAUCAACACUUAGCUCACAAAACUCUCGAAUCAAACGACUUAAACUUUGAGAAUGAAUCGAAACUUUAAAGAGAAUUUAAAGAAACAAAGACACACACGAUUUAACGAGUUCACGUUCCUCAACCGGAAUCGCUACGUCUCGCCGGAGAAUCUCUCCGGAAAUCCACUAGAACCUUUCUUUACAAUGUAUCUUUACAAGUUUUCUCUCUCUAGUUCUCUCUAGAACUUGAUUACAAUUCUCUCUUUUUCUCUAUCUCCGAUCUAACAGAAUUACAGAGAAGAAGAAGAAGAUAUAGUUACAGAGCUCAUGCGAAAAAGACCAAAACACCCUCAAGCUUGUUAUGACCUUAGUCAGCUCGCCUCACGUGUUAUGACUUUAGUCAGCUCGCCUCACGUAAGAAAGUAUAACGCUUAAGGGGACUGAGGGGUUUGUCUUGAGAGGUUCUUGGAUUGUAUAGGAAUCCAUGAACGUUAGAGAUUAGAUAAUUGUUUGAGUGAAACUUGUAAGUUUACUAAACAGAUUUUCUAAUAAAGAAGCUUUUU